Molecule: non-coding RNA, 29 nt
Filed under: Mus musculus (house mouse)
Lineage: Eukaryota; Metazoa; Chordata; Mammalia; Rodentia; Muridae
Source: RNAcentral
UAAAAUUGUGGUGCUGGGAAGCAGACUCA